RNAcentral lists this ribosomal RNA (373 nucleotides) under uncultured bacterium. Its description in RNAcentral is "bacterial SSU rRNA". It matches the Rfam family "Bacterial small subunit ribosomal RNA", at positions 521 to 896 of the family's 1533-position model. The record is from RNAcentral.
UAAUACGGAGGAUGCAAGCGUUAUCCGGAUUUAUUGGGUUUAAAGGGUGCGUAGGCGGAUAAAUAAGUCAGUGGUGAAAGCCUGCAGCUUAACUGUAGAAUUGCCAUUGAUACUGUUUGUCUUGAGUACAGUUGAGGUGGGCGGAAUAUGGCAUGUAGCGGUGAAAUGCUUAGAUAUGCCAUAGAACACCGAUUGCGAAGGCAGCUCACUAAACUGUCACUGACGCUGAGGCACGAAAGCGUGGGUAGCAAACAGGAUUAGAUACCCUGGUAGUCCACGCCCUAAACUAUGAUCACUCGAUGUUGGCGAUACACUGUCAGCGUCUAAGCGAAAGCAUUAAGUGAUCCACCUGGGGAGUACGGUCGCAAGACUG